RNAcentral lists this ribosomal RNA (253 nucleotides) under uncultured bacterium. Its description in RNAcentral is "partial 16S ribosomal RNA". It matches the Rfam family "Bacterial small subunit ribosomal RNA", at positions 524 to 776 of the family's 1533-position model. The record is from RNAcentral.
UACGAAGGGGGCUAGCGUUGCUCGGAAUCACUGGGCGUAAAGCGCACGUAGGCGGCUUUUUAAGUCAGGGGUGAAAUCCUGGAGCUCAACUCCAGAACUGCCUUUGAUACUGAGAAGCUUGAGUCCGGGAGAGGUGAGUGGAACUGCGAGUGUAGAGGUGAAAUUCGUAGAUAUUCGCAGGAACACCAGUGGCGAAGGCGGCUCACUGGCCCGGUACUGACGCUGAGGUGCGAAAGCGUGGGGAGCAAACAGG